Molecule: ribosomal RNA, 1330 nt
Filed under: Verruca sp. CJS-2008
Lineage: Eukaryota; Metazoa; Arthropoda; Thecostraca; Verrucomorpha; Verrucidae
Description: SSU rRNA
Rfam family: Eukaryotic small subunit ribosomal RNA
Source: RNAcentral
ACAAUAAAUACCUUACAGAGGUCUCGUUAACCGAGAUCUCUCAAACGGAAUGAGUACAACGUGAAUCCUUUAACGAGGAUCGACUGGAGGGCAAGCCUGGUGCCAGCAGCCGCGGUAAUUCCAGCUCCAGUAGCGUAUAUUAAAGCUGUUGCGGUUAAAAAGCUCGUAGUUGGAUAUCAGUGCGUGUCCGGAUCGGUAUGCCCGACACUGUCGUUAACGCGGCAGCCGUCGGGCUCCCAAAUAUCGGCUGGCCGCAUUCAAUCGUGCCGGAUCCGUCGACGGGCCGUUCUUCGGAGGGGCCUGUUGGCGACCGGCGACGUUACCUUGAACAAAUUAGAGUGCUCAAAGCAGGCUCAUAAUGCCUGUAUACAUAUUCAUGGAAUUGGAGAAUACGUCCCUGGCUCGAUUUGGUUGGUUUUGAGAGUCGAAGGGAAAUGAUUAAUAGGGACUGACGGAGGCAUUCGUAUUGCGACGCGAGGGGUGAAAUCCUGUGACCGUCGCACGACGAACUACUGCGAAAGCAUUUGCCGAGAAUGUUUUCAUUAGUCAAGAACGAAAGUUAGAGGUUCGAAGGCGAUCAGAUACCGCCCUAGUUCUAACCGUAAACGAUGUCGACCAGCAAUCCGCAACGGUCACUACACGGACUGUGCGGGCAGCUUCCCCGGGGAAACCAGAGUGUAUGGACUCCGGGGGAAGUAUGGUUGCAAAGCUGAAACUUAAAGGAAUUGACGGAAGGGCACCACCAGGAGUGGAGCUUGCGGCUUAAUUUGACUCAACACGGGACAACUCACCAGGCCCGGACACCGUAAGGAUUGACAGACUGAUAGCUCUCUCUUGAUUCAGUGGGUGGUGGUGCAUGGCCGUUCUUAGUUGGUGGAGUGAUUUGUCUGGUUUAUUCCGAUAACGAACGAGACUCUGGCCUAUUAAACUUGAUGUCGUUAGUCCUUCUGUGACUACGGCACGCUUCUUAGAGGGAUCAUCGGCGUCCCAGCCGAAGGAAAUGGAGCAAUAACAGGUCUGUGAUGCCCUUAGAUGUUCUGGGCUGCACGCGUGUUACACUGAAGUGGUCAGCGCGCCGUUCAACGUCCCUCUCCGUGAGGAGCGGGCAAACGUUUGAACCCUUUUCGUGAUGGGAAUUGGGGGUUGCAAUUGUCCCCCAUGAACGAGGAAUUCCAAGUAAGCGCAGGUCACUAGCCUGCGUUGAUUAAGUCCCUGCCCUUUGUACACACCGCCCGUCGCUACUACCGAUGGAUGAUUUGGUGAGGUCGCCUAGACUGGCCGCUGGCUUCGGCCGUGCGGCCGGGAAGACGCCCAAACUUGGUCGUCUAGA